GCAGCUGGCUGGGGGUGUGACCGGUGAGAACCCUCUAGAGCUAGGAUCUGAACCAGGGCAAACGGGUGCCCAGGACGAACAGAUUCCACCACCAAUCACGGCAUGAAGCAUUACUAUGGGCACCCCUCUGUGGACUCCUUGUGAGACUCUCUGAAACCGUGUCCUCCCAGGAUUGUCAAAGAAAACAGGAAGCCCCUCCUGGGGAGGCUCACCCCCGCCCCAUCCCCACAAGCCAGGAAGUGACUGGCAGAAAGAUAGACACCUAGCAAGGCCAGGAGCACCCGGGCUGGGAGCCUGGAGCCAUCAUCGGGCGGAGCCCGGAGCCAAGUCCCCUGGGGUCCAAGGGCUGCAUUCCUCCCAGGUCUGCAGAGGCCACCGCUUAAAGGCGCAGAGGAGCAGCUGGGAACGAGAACAAAGCGGCCAGGCCCCCCUCGGAGGAAGGAAGGAGCGAGCCCCAGGAAGCAGCUGAUAACGCUAAGCUCAGCUUGUUUUUUCCUCUGCUCAACAGUUCUCCUGCCACGGCAAACAAAAGAUGUACGUUCUGAUUCCCUCCCGUGUUUGGAUUGCGCCGCUUCUGCUUUCUGAUGAGCUGGGGGAGAGGCAUCCCGGGCAGCUUCUGGCUCGCCUUGCCAGAUGAUGGCAGAGUCCGCCCUGCCUGUCCCCAGCCUAGACGCCUAGCUGCACCAGGCAGGGCAUCGCUUUUGACGAUGGAAUGUGAUGUAGUGAGUGCUGCGGGUUGACUCGUGACCUAGGCUUUGAAGGAACUGCAGCUCAGGACAUGUAAAACUGUUUAGAUGGGAACCCUGGCCUUUCUCAGCUCUAUCGAGAGGCCCCGCCCCGCUAUCGUCUCAGCCAAAGUCACAACCCACUAUUGUGCAAGGGCCGCCUGGGAACACACAAGGUGCAGUCUGCCCUUCCCGGAUCGUGCCACCUUUCUCCCGUGGUUUAGGGCAAUAGUAAUAGAGGACAGGCGAAGAACACCUUCAGGGUCAACUGUGUGUGACAGACAGGUUUUUGGAAAGUUUCUACACCCCAUAAGUCUCUCCGCCCAUGCAGCAAUCCAAAUCAGACCAAAUCAAACUGAAUUAGAAAAAGCCCAUGUUUAAUGGAUACAGCACUCCUGGAUGGCCUUCCAGCCCCCCAGAGAGGAGACAGAAAAUGGAAGAUCAAGAAAACCACAAGUGACUUCCCAUACAUGCAGAGACCAGAAGAGGAAGCUGGGUACCCUGCAACUGAAGACACUGGUUCUUGGGAGCUAGGAGUCAAAGUUAGGUGCUCUGGGAGUGCCUGUGUGCUCUUAUGACUCAGCCAUUCUCCAGCCCUCAGAGCCAUUCUUUAUGUCAUUAAAUUGUCUUUGCAACUGAA
Molecule: non-coding RNA, 1365 nt
Organism: Cricetulus griseus (Chinese hamster)
Lineage: Eukaryota; Metazoa; Chordata; Mammalia; Rodentia; Cricetidae
Source: RefSeq, a predicted model, not a curated record